This 426-nucleotide ribosomal RNA is filed under the name uncultured bacterium. RNAcentral's name for it is "bacterial SSU rRNA". It matches the Rfam family "Bacterial small subunit ribosomal RNA", at positions 356 to 774 of the family's 1533-position model. The record is from RNAcentral.
GGGGAAUUUUGGACAAUGGGCGAAAGCCUGAUCCAGCCAUGCCGCGUGAGUGAAGAAGGCCUUCGGGUUGUAAAGCUCUUUUAGUCGGAAAGAAAGAGUUGCAAUGAAUAAUUGUGAUUUAUGACGGUACCGACAGAAAAAGCACCGGCUAACUACGUGCCAGCAGCCGCGGUAAUACGUAGGGUGCGAGCGUUAAUCGGAAUUACUGGGCGUAAAGGGUGCGCAGGCGGUCUUGCAAGUCAGAUGUGAAAGCCCCGGGCUUAACCUGGGAAUUGCGUUUGAAACUACAAGGCUAGAGUGCAGCAGAGGGCAGUGCAAUUCCAUGUGUAGCAGUGAAAUGCGUAGAGAUGUGGAAGAACACCGAUGGCGAAGGCAGCUCCCUGGGUUGACACUGACGCUCAUGCACGAAAGCGCGGGGAGCAAACA